CCUGGGCUGUCGCCGUCCCCGAGGANGUGCACGCCCAGAGUGCUCUCUCACAUCCAUCUCUCACCCCCUUUGUGCAUCACCGCGUGGGCCCCCUUCUCUUUUGGCUCGUUCCGGAGAAGGGGGGGUUCACGUUUUUAUAAGAACCACUUGUGUAGAAUGUCUUACAUUUUGCGGUCACACGCAAUCAAUACAACUUUCAACAACGGAUCUCUUGGCUCUCGCAUCGAUGAAGAACGCAGCGAAAUGCGAUACGUAAUGUGAAUUGCAGAAUUCAGUGAAUCAUCGAAUCUUUGAACGCACCUUGCGCCCCUUGGUAUUCCGAGGGGUGCACCCGUUUGAGUGUCGUGAACACCCUCAACCUUCUCGGUUUUAUCGACCGGAGAAGGCUUGGACUUUGGAGGUUUUUGUUGCUGGCCUCGUCCGAAGCCAGCUCCUCCUAAACGAAUUAGUGGGGUCCGUUGUGCCGACCGUCGACGUGAUAAGUACANGCUUCUACGUCUCGGCGUUGGCCCGGAAUCCUGCUUCCAACCCGUCGAGUUGUUGACUCGACCUUAUAAAUCUUGACCUCAAAUCGGGUGAGACUACCCGCUGAACUUAAGCAUAU
Molecule: ribosomal RNA, 604 nt
Filed under: uncultured fungus
Lineage: Eukaryota; Fungi
Description: eukaryotic LSU rRNA
Rfam family: 5.8S ribosomal RNA (bases 192-345)
Source: RNAcentral